UCCUGUCUGAAUAUGGGGGGACCAUCCUCCAAGGCUAAAUACUCCUGACUGACCGAUAGUGAACCAGUACCGUGAGGGAAAGGCGAAAAGAACCCCGGCGAGGGGAGUGAAAAAGAACCUGAAACCGUGUACGUACAAGCAGUGGGAGCACAGGUUUACCUGUGUGACUGCGUACCUUUUGUAUAAUGGGUCAGCGACUUAUAUUCUGUAGCAAGGUUAACCGAAUAGGGGAGCCGGAGGGAAACCGAGUCUUAAYYGGGCGUUAAGUUGCAGGGUAUAGACCCGAAACCCGGUGAUCUAGCCAUGGGCAGGUUGAAGGUUGGGUAACACUAACUGGAGGACCGAACCGACUAAUGUUGAAAAAUUAGCGGAUGACCUGUGGCUGGGGGUGAAAGGCCAAUCAAAC
RNAcentral lists this ribosomal RNA (406 nucleotides) under Salmonella enterica. RNAcentral describes it as "partial 23S ribosomal RNA". The record is from RNAcentral. Lineage: Bacteria; Pseudomonadati; Pseudomonadota; Gammaproteobacteria; Enterobacterales; Enterobacteriaceae.